RNAcentral lists this unclassified non-coding RNA (299 nucleotides) under plant metagenome. Its description in RNAcentral is "partial contains 5.8S ribosomal RNA, internal transcribed spacer 2, and large subunit ribosomal RNA". The stretch from base 1 to 105 matches the Rfam family "5.8S ribosomal RNA", at positions 50 to 154 of the family's 154-position model. The record is from RNAcentral.
GAAAUGCGAUAAGUAAUGUGAAUUGCAGAAUUCAGUGAAUCAUCGAAUCUUUGAACGCACAUUGCGCUCGCCAGUAUUCUGGCGAGCAUGCCUGUUCGAGCGUCAUUUCAACCAUCAAGCUCUGCUUGCGUUGGGGAUCCGCGGCUGCCCGCGGUCCCUCAAAAACAGUGGCGGGCUCGCUAGUCACACCGAGCGUAGUAACGCUACAUCGCUAUGGUCGUGCGGCGGGUUCUUGCCGUAAAACCCCCAAUUUCUAAGGUUGACCUCGGAUCAGGUAGGAAUACCCGCUGAACUUAAGC